UAGGCAACGGGUUUUGGUCCCGUUUUUUGGAGGUUUCGAUCCUUCCGUCCCAGA
This 54-nucleotide transfer RNA is filed under the name Platystele edmundoi. Its description in RNAcentral is "partial tRNA-Gln". Lineage: Eukaryota; Viridiplantae; Streptophyta; Magnoliopsida; Asparagales; Orchidaceae. The record is from RNAcentral.